Molecule: transfer RNA, 67 nt
Filed under: Marmota monax (woodchuck)
Lineage: Eukaryota; Metazoa; Chordata; Mammalia; Rodentia; Sciuridae
Description: tRNA.Ala
Rfam family: tRNA
About the family: Transfer RNA (tRNA) molecules are approximately 80 nucleotides in length. Their secondary structure includes four short double-helical elements and three loops (D, anti-codon, and T loops).
Source: RNAcentral
GGUUGUGGCUCAGUGGUAAAGUGCUUACCUAGCAUGUAUGAGACACUGGGUUCGAUUCCUAGCACCA